This is a long non-coding RNA of Globicephala melas (long-finned pilot whale), 1374 nucleotides long. RefSeq lists it as uncharacterized. The record is from RefSeq and is a predicted model, not a curated record. Lineage: Eukaryota; Metazoa; Chordata; Mammalia; Artiodactyla; Delphinidae.
UAAAUCAACUGAGGUUAUGUACUCCUCUCUUUGGGCACGUAUGGCACAUAUUGGUAUUUGGUAUUCUCUGCCAAGGAUUCCUUUCUUCACUGGUAUGUCCAGCCCUGUGAUAGUCACGGUGUCUUUUAAACUUGCCACCUCCCUGUGAAAAUUUCCUUGCUCAUAUCUUAGUGGCUUCCUGUUUUGGCUCUAAGUUAUGACCUAGAUUGUCAUCUCUAUUUCUCACCUCCUCUUUUGGUGGAGAAUGAGAUCGCUGUCUCUGAUUGUUCUGUGAUUCUCUUAGUGUCAGGAACAGCUAAUCGUUUCCAUGAGUGUUACAGUUCUUCUAAGCUGCUUGGAAUAAAAUGGGGUAUCAUUUCCUAGAGGAUGAUGACACAGCUUUCUGGGGCUGUCAAAACACUUUAAUUCAUUGAGAAGAAGCAUUUGACGCAUAUUGUGAGAGUUAUGCAUACAUGAAGAGAAGACUAUAGAACUCAAUGGGUUAACAUCAUCUUUCAGAUAAACUUCAUUUUUCUCUCCCCUCUUUUAGCCCUUGUGCCAGUGAAACGAAAGAUAUUUUUUAAAAAACCACGACAUGAAAAGAGGGAAGUAUUGUUUUUGUAAAAGCAACCCUAAAACACAGCUAUUGAAAGAAGCAAUGUUUAAAAAAUUUAGAAUAGAUCCAUCUAAAUUCUCAGUUUAAAAUUACUUACUAAUACAAAUACCUAAAAGGCUUUAAAAAAUUGUUAAUGCUGUUGAAUAAAUGUUGAAUGAGAUAAAUGAGGUGUCUUCAAAUGGGGCUAUGAUUUAUUAUAAUCAUUUGUGGAAUUUUGGUUUCCCAUUUUAAAUGGUAUACCUCUUGCAGGCAGGAAUGGGCUUCAUUGUCCUCGUCACGGAUAAGGGAAGAGUAAAAUCCCCUGUCUUUACAAGGAAACUUGUUGGAUUUCUGGCUCCUCCUUGACCAGCAGUUUCAGACUGCAAAUGUGACAGAAAUACUGGCACAACUUAGCAUUUUCUACUAAAAGAAACACUGAUGUCUGCUUUCUAUUUGCCUUCUUUCUUGUGCCCCAUCCUUCAUAACUGCAAAGAUAACUUACAGGGAGAAGCUAAGAUCUGGGAAUUUUCUCCUGAUUGUGCUACGUUGAGUAGGGGGAGGAAUUAUGUAUGUGGGCCUCUCACUGUUGUGGCCUCUCCCAUUGUGGAGCACAGGCUCCGGACGCGCAGGCUCAACGGCCAUGGCUCACGGGCCCAGUCGCUGUGUGGCAUGUGGGAUCCUCCCGGACCGGGGCACGAACCCGUGUCCCCUGCAUUGGCAGGCGGACUCCCAACCACUGCACCACCAGGGAAGCCCAAAUUUAAAUUUUUUUAAUUUAAAUUCUAUUUGUUAGUUACUAG